GCAGACCCCUCGUGCGGCAUCACCUCGCCGAACUCCCCCAGGGCCGGAAGGCAGCAAGGGUAAGUGAGCUCUGGUGGGUGCGCGAGGGGUCCUUUGC
RNAcentral lists this signal recognition particle RNA (97 nucleotides) under Isoptericola halotolerans. RNAcentral's name for it is "small signal recognition particle RNA". It matches the Rfam family "Bacterial small signal recognition particle RNA". Rfam says of the family: The signal recognition particle (SRP) is a universally conserved ribonucleoprotein involved in the co-translational targeting of proteins to membranes. Archaeal SRP consists of a 7S RNA and homologues of the eukaryotic SRP19 and SRP54 proteins. In most bacteria, the SRP consists of a 4.5S RNA and the Ffh protein (a homologue of the eukaryotic SRP54 protein). Lineage: Bacteria; Bacillati; Actinomycetota; Actinomycetes; Micrococcales; Promicromonosporaceae. RNAcentral also lists the same sequence under 2 other names. The record is from RNAcentral.